This 1445-nucleotide ribosomal RNA is filed under the name metagenome. RNAcentral's name for it is "bacterial SSU rRNA". It matches the Rfam family "Bacterial small subunit ribosomal RNA". The record is from RNAcentral.
AGAGUUUGAUCCUGGCUCAGGAUGAACGCUGGCGGCGUGCUUAACACAUGCAAGUCGAACGAGCCUUCGGGCUAGUGGCGGACGGGUGAGUAACGCGUGGGAAUCUGCCCUCAGGAGGGGGAUAACGGCCGGAAACGGCCGCUAAUACCCCAUAUGCCGAGAGGUGAAACGAAUUUCGCCUGAGGAUGAGCCCGCGUCUGAUUAGCUAGUUGGUGAGGUAAUGGCUCACCAAGGCAUCGAUCAGUAGCUGGUCUGAGAGGAUGAUCAGCCACACUGGGACUGAGACACGGCCCAGACUCCUACGGGAGGCAGCAGUGGGGAAUUUUCCGCAAUGGGCGCAAGCCUGACGGAGCAACGCCGCGUGAGGGACGAAGGCCUCUGGGCUGUAAACCUCUUUUCUCAAGGAAGAAGACAUGACGGUACUUGAGGAAUAAGCCACGGCUAAUUCCGUGCCAGCAGCCGCGGUAAUACGGGAGUGGCAAGCGUUAUCCGGAAUUAUUGGGCGUAAAGCGUCCGCAGGCGGCCUUGAAAGUCUGUUGUUAAAGCGUGGAGCUCAACUCCAUUUCAGCAAUGGAAACUACAAGGCUAGAGUGUGGUAGGGGCAGAGGGAAUUCCCGGUGUAGCGGUGAAAUGCGUAGAUAUCGGGAAGAACACCAGUGGCGAAGGCGCUCUGCUGGGCCAUAACUGACGCUCAUGGACGAAAGCCAGGGGAGCGAAAGGGAUUAGAUACCCCUGUAGUCCUGGCCGUAAACGAUGAACACUAGGUGUCGGGAGAAUUAACCCUUUUCGGUGUCGUAGCCAACGCGUUAAGUGUUCCGCCUGGGGAGUACGCACGCAAGUGUGAAACUCAAAGGAAUUGACGGGGGCCCGCACAAGCGGUGGAGUAUGUGGUUUAAUUCGAUGCAACGCGAAGAACCUUACCAGGGUUUGACAUCCUGCGAAUCCUUUGGAAACUUAGGAGUGCCUUCGGGAGCGCAGUGACAGGUGGUGCAUGGCUGUCGUCAGCUCGUGUCGUGAGAUGUUGGGUUAAGUCCCGCAACGAGCGCAACCCACGUCUUUAGUUGCCAGCAUUUAGUUGGGCACUCUAGAGAGACCGCCGGUGAUAAACCGGAGGAAGGUGUGGAUGACGUCAAGUCAUCAUGCCCCUUACAUCCUGGGCUACACACGUACUACAAUGCUACGGACAAAGGGCAGCAAACUCGCGAGAGCUAGCAAAUCCCAUAAACCGUGGCUCAGUUCAGAUCGUAGGCUGCAACUCGCCUACGUGAAGGAGGAAUCGCUAGUAAUCGCAGGUCAGCAUACUGCGGUGAAUACGUUCCCGGGCCUUGUACACACCGCCCGUCACACCAUGGAAGUUGGCCAUGCCCGAAGUCGUUACUCCAACCCGCAAGGGAGGAGGACGCCGAAGGUGGGGCUGAUGACUGGGGUGAAGUCGUAACAAGGUA